UCCAUCUGUAAGGGUGUACCCUUCUGUAGAAGUACCUUGCCUUGCUGAGAAUUAAAAAGAAAAUUUUAUAUUCGAGUACUAGUUCUUUUGCAGCACCGAAACUUUAUUUAUAACAAUUUGGGGCCUCACCGGUGAUUACAUUAUCCUCCGGGGGCGGUCUCUGGUUCUCUCUUCUGAGGAGACAUGCCCCGCCCCCUUGUGGCGGCCUCGGGGGUGAGAACUCAAGACCCACUCAGUGCGAGGAAUAACCGCAGCUCUCAGCAACGCGCAGGGGAGGGGCUGGGGGGAGGGACUGGCCAGCAACCUAGCUUAAAGGAUCCUCAUAGACUGCAGCGACGAUUCUGUGCACAGACUAAGGAAGGAGAAGCUGCAGGAACCGUUUCCUGAGUUGCAAGUUUAGGCUCUUGGCUGUAAACAGUUCUUCUUUCCUAAUGAAAACAAGCUUAUGUUACUAUAGAAGAAUGAGAGAUCACCUGGGCAAAUAUAAGACAUUUUAGAUGAUCCAUAAUAGAAUUACUAACCUCCAGUCUGUCUGCCAGCUCCACAAAGACACAAGAGCAAACCCAGAAAUUCUGAGAACCUUCCUUGAAAUCAUUGAACAGCAAAUGAACAAGCUGUUGCCAACCUGGGGUAGAAGACAGCAGAAUUCCAGCAAGUUUCCUGAAUGGAUUCCCAUUCACUGCUCUUGUUAAGCUGUGGAAUCCAUGUGGCCAGACCUAUGAUUGCUGUUUUUCUUCUCUUUGGCCAGGACUUGGGAGAGCUCUGAUGGCUUUGUCAAACUUGUAUUUGUCCCUGGGGUAAAGGGCUUCAAUGCUGAGCAUCGAGCAUAAGGAGUUGGAGAAAGAGAUGUGGGUGAUUUACCUCUGCCAUAGAUAUCGGAUUGGCAAAAAUAAAUGAAUUUCAUCUGAAGAGAAUUAACACAAGCAUACACAUAUACACAGGAGUGCACAUAAAAAUUAAUCUUCAAGAGGAUAGAAACAGGGGAUGGUGUAGUUCCUGCCAUGAAGUACAGAUCAACUGGUACCAGAGAUUCAAAAUUGUGGAAUGGAUCAUGGGGAUUUCUCUCUUCCCUGUCAUAAAGAGUAAUUCAAUCAGGAAAACUGACAUGCAUUGUUGUAUUGUGGGUGCAACAGCUGAGAAGAUGAAAAAGACAUAGAGAAAGGGGAUAUUGGAAAUAAAAGGAUGUUAAAAUGAUAUAAUUUUUAAGAAGGUUGAGAAGGAAUAUGGGAUAUUUAUAUUCCUCUAAAUUUGAUAGAUAAUGAUGUCCACAAAGAAGAGUUUGCUGAAAUAAUUUUAAAUUUUGGUGAGCACAGACUAUCAAUGCCAAACGCAAUGGGUAAUUUUCUGUGUCAGCUUGGCUAGGCUGUGAUCUCCAAGUGUUUGUUCAAACAGCAAUCGUAGAUGUCCUUGUGAAGGUAUUUUUAGGUAAGAUUAACAUUUAAAUCAGUAGUCUUUGAGUAAAGCAGAUGACCUGCAAUAAUGUGAGUGGGUCUCAAAUUUGUUUUAAGUUGAAGGCCUUAAGAGAGAAAGAUUAAGGUCAUCCAUGAAAGAGGGAAUUCUGCUACCAGAUUGCAUUUGGACUCAAGCUGCAAUAUCAGCUCUUCCCUGGGUCUCCAACCUGACAGCCUGUCCUAUAGAUAAGAGCUUGCCAGUCCCCACAAUCACAUGACACAUGAGCCAGUCCUUUUUUUUUUAGCCAAUUCUUUAAAAUUCUUCUCCUCUCUCUCUCUCUCUCUCCCCCGCCUCUCCCUCUCUCUCUCCCUUCUUUCUCUGUGUAUACACAUGCACGCGUGCACGCGCGCACACACACACACACACACACACACUCAUCCUAUUAGUUCCGUUUCUCUGGAGAACCCAGACUAAUGUACUUCCUCAGUAAUUGUUUUAGCAUUCUGGAUUCUGUUACUUUACUAUCAGCCUUAAAAUUGCAAAAAGAAGAAGGAAAGUUUUAUCAACCAUUUCAGACACUAAGUUUUCAGCCUUUUGGGAUCAAGGAAAAUACAAUCCAUAUGUUUUGGACUCACUUGCUAUUAUCCAGAACAUUAUAUCGGAGAUGGUUUAAAAUUUCUGGCUGGUUCAAUAUACGCAAAUCAAUAAAUGUAAUCCAGCAUAUAAACAGAACCAAAGACAAAAACCACAUGAUUAUCUCAAUAGAUGCAGAAAAAGC
Molecule: long non-coding RNA, 2170 nt
Filed under: Homo sapiens (human)
Lineage: Eukaryota; Metazoa; Chordata; Mammalia; Primates; Hominidae
Description: HSALNT0249423
Source: RNAcentral